This 509-nucleotide ribosomal RNA is filed under the name uncultured bacterium. RNAcentral's name for it is "bacterial SSU rRNA". It matches the Rfam family "Bacterial small subunit ribosomal RNA", at positions 28 to 527 of the family's 1533-position model. The record is from RNAcentral.
GACGAACGCUGGCGGCGUGGAUUAGGCAUGCAAGUCGAACGGUAUCAUCCUUUCGGGGGUGAGAGAGUGGCGAACUGGUGAGUAACACGUAGGUUAUCUACCCUCAAGACGGGGACAACCCAGGGAAACUUGGGCUAAUACCGGAUGUGAGCAACUUUUAGUUGUUUGAAAGGUGGCGUAAGCUGUCGCUUGGGGAUGAGCCUGCGUCCUAUUAGUUAGUUGGUGAGGUAACGGCUCACCUAGGCAAUGAUAGGUAGGCGGCCUUAACGGGUGGUCGCCCACACUGGGAUUGAGAUACGGCCCAGACUCCUACGGGAGGCAGCAGUCGAGAAUAGUCUACAAUGGUCGGAAGACUGAUAGUGCGACGCCGCGUGAACGAUGAAUCCCUUCGGGGUUAAAGUUCUUUUAUAUGUGAGCAGUGCUUCUUAUAUUAACAGUAUGGGGAAGAGAUAUUAGCAUAUGAAAUAAGCAAACGGCUAAACUCCGUGCCCAGCAGCCGCGGUAAAACG